ACAGCAGUAGCCGCGGUAAUACAGAGGGUGCGAGCGUUAAUCGGAUUUACUGGGCGUAAAGCGUGCGUAGGCGGCUAAUUGAGUCGGAUGUGAAAUCCCCGAGCUUAACUUGGGAAUUGCAUUCGAUACUGGUUAGCUAGAGUGUGGGAGAGGAUGGUAGAAUUCCAGGUGUAGCGGUGAAAUGCGUAGAGAUCUGGAGGAAUACCGAUGGCGAAGGCAGCCAUCUGGCCUAAUACUGACGCUGAGGUACGAAAGCAUGGGGAGCAAACAGGAUUAGAUACCCGCGUAGUCCCUGUCUCUUAUAC
RNAcentral lists this ribosomal RNA (305 nucleotides) under uncultured bacterium. Its description in RNAcentral is "partial 16S ribosomal RNA". It matches the Rfam family "Bacterial small subunit ribosomal RNA", at positions 508 to 807 of the family's 1533-position model. The record is from RNAcentral.